UACGGAGGAGGCAAGCGUUAUCCGGAAUUAUUGGGCGUAAAGCGUCCGUAGUUGGUUUAGUAAGUCUGCUGUUAAAGCGCGGGGCUUAACUCCGUAUCGGCAGUGGAAACUACUAGACUAGAGUGUGGUAGGGGUAGAGGGAAUUCCCAGUGUAGCGGUGAAAUGCGUAGAUAUUGGGAAGAACACCGGUGGCGAAGGCGAGUCCCUGGACACUUCCUGACACUGAGGCACGAAAGCUAGGGGAGCAAACAGG
This 253-nucleotide ribosomal RNA is filed under the name uncultured bacterium. RNAcentral describes it as "partial 16S ribosomal RNA". It matches the Rfam family "Bacterial small subunit ribosomal RNA", at positions 524 to 776 of the family's 1533-position model. The record is from RNAcentral.